This 69-nucleotide transfer RNA is filed under the name Salmo salar (Atlantic salmon). It matches the Rfam family "tRNA". Rfam says of the family: Transfer RNA (tRNA) molecules are approximately 80 nucleotides in length. Their secondary structure includes four short double-helical elements and three loops (D, anti-codon, and T loops). Further hydrogen bonds mediate the characteristic L-shaped molecular structure. tRNAs have two regions of fundamental functional importance: the anti-codon, which is responsible for specific mRNA codon recognition, and the 3' end, to which the tRNAs corresponding amino acid is attached (by aminoacyl-tRNA synthetases). tRNAs cope with the degeneracy of the genetic code in two manners: having more than one tRNA (with a specific anti-codon) for a particular amino acid; and 'wobble' base-pairing, i.e. permitting non-standard base-pairing at the 3rd anti-codon position. The record is from Rfam by way of RNAcentral. Lineage: Eukaryota; Metazoa; Chordata; Actinopteri; Salmoniformes; Salmonidae.
UCCCUGUGGCUCAGUUGGUAGAGCAUGGUGUUUGCAACGCCAGGGUUGUGGGUUCGAUUCCCACGGGAA